Molecule: non-coding RNA, 138 nt
Filed under: Candidatus Brocadia
Lineage: Bacteria; Pseudomonadati; Planctomycetota; Candidatus Brocadiia; Candidatus Brocadiales; Candidatus Brocadiaceae
Also listed under: 1 other name
Description: c-di-GMP sequence
Rfam family: c-di-GMP-I riboswitch aptamer
About the family: GEMM was predicted in a large-scale screen for bacterial structured RNA regulatory elements. Genes associated with GEMM are involved in a diverse array of functions, including chemotaxis regulation, signal transduction, secretion and chitin.
Source: RNAcentral
UCGCGAUAAAGGCAAACCCUGAGCGAUCAGGGGGCGCAAAGGAAAGGAUCUUGGGCGCACAGGGAAGUGCGUCAACAAAAAGUGAAUUUGUAAGACAACAAGGAAGUAGUCUCGGUUAAAGAUAGCCUUGCCGCCGAA